RNAcentral lists this transfer RNA (73 nucleotides) under Pseudomonadota bacterium. RNAcentral describes it as "tRNA-Thr". It matches the Rfam family "tRNA". Rfam says of the family: Transfer RNA (tRNA) molecules are approximately 80 nucleotides in length. Their secondary structure includes four short double-helical elements and three loops (D, anti-codon, and T loops). Further hydrogen bonds mediate the characteristic L-shaped molecular structure. tRNAs have two regions of fundamental functional importance: the anti-codon, which is responsible for specific mRNA codon recognition, and the 3' end, to which the tRNAs corresponding amino acid is attached (by aminoacyl-tRNA synthetases). tRNAs cope with the degeneracy of the genetic code in two manners: having more than one tRNA (with a specific anti-codon) for a particular amino acid; and 'wobble' base-pairing, i.e. permitting non-standard base-pairing at the 3rd anti-codon position. The record is from RNAcentral. Lineage: Bacteria; Pseudomonadati; Pseudomonadota. RNAcentral also lists the same sequence under 1 other name.
GCCACCUUAGCUCAGUCGGUAGAGUAGCUCAUUCGUAAUGAGUCGGUCCUCGGUUCAAGUCCGAGAGGUGGCU